AAACCUUUAUAUUGAUGACCCAAACAAUCGGAAAAAGGAUUCAUCAGAGAAAAUGACUUUACCCCAGUCCUCAGCAGUCCAAUCACUGUACCUUUUGCAUAAUAUCAGUCUGUC
Long non-coding RNA from Nanorana parkeri, 114 nucleotides. RefSeq lists it as uncharacterized. The record is from RefSeq and is a predicted model, not a curated record. NCBI's taxonomy places the organism in Eukaryota, Metazoa, Chordata, Amphibia, Anura, Dicroglossidae. The transcript has 3 exons.